Molecule: long non-coding RNA, 191 nt
Organism: Etheostoma spectabile (orangethroat darter)
Lineage: Eukaryota; Metazoa; Chordata; Actinopteri; Perciformes; Percidae
Exons: 3
Source: RefSeq, a predicted model, not a curated record
UUCUUUCCUUGGUCAGGCUCCAAGAUUAAGUUAUGUUCUGCGGUCUGUUUAGAAGUGGUGAAUUUACAGCUCACAGAAACUUAAUACGAUAUAGUGUCUGGCUUUUGUUUGAAAUCUAGUGUCGCAAAAUGCCUUUUUAUUGAGUUUCCUCUUAGCAAAAUGCUCCUUGUGAAUUUAAGCUGGGUUUUAUU